GUAUAAUGGGUAAAUCUUCCUUACCCAGUUUCCUGUUUCUUAAUAGUUCAAAAAAAUAAGAAGAAAGUGCUUUAGGUUACAUAUGUGAUUAUGUAACUCUGAUCUUUUUCUUAUAUGUGAUAGGCAGAUUUUCUCUGCAGGUGUGAUGACCAAACAUCAGAAUUACUCCUGCUCUAGAAUAGAAAGAAUUUAGGUUCCAGGCCUAUAAGCGUCCUAUGACUUGAUGGCAUCUAAACAUAAUCCAGCAUUCAUUAGGUCUGUCUCAACCUGAACAGUUCUACUCCAUCACUUUAUUUCUGCUCUAAUUAAUCUUCAGUCAUUUCCAGCAGGCUCGAGGUGGUAUAUCCUUGAAUAGAACUAGAUAGUUGGAAGGAUCUGUGAGCAUAUGUUCUUUCAAAAGCUCAUUUUUUUGUGAUCACAAAGAUGAUUUUCUCUGAAAUUUAGAGGUUAGCUAUCUGAGGUGUUAAUACUGCUUUGAAAGAAUGAGAAGUAUGGGAAUUUUUCUCAGAAUGGGAAAUUACUGUUUUUUUAAGUAACACUAUUAUGAUGUACUGCUUCUUUUAAGAUACAUAAGAAAUGAGUUAAUGAUAGUGUUUUGGAAAAUAAUAUGUAGAUAUGUAUCUGGUGAUUGUUAUCAGUUGUUACUUGUUAAAAUUAAUGACUUAUUAAGUUUGAGUGUUAAAAAAAAAGUUUGAAUGGGUGUAGUGUCUCUUAUCCCAUCCAGUGACAAUUUAUGCUGAGAGUGCUUUAACUUUUCAAAAAAAUUUAUUUUUAAAAAUUUUAUUUGAAAGGCAGAGUUACAGAGAGAGGAUGAGAGACCCAGAGUAAGAUCUUCCAUCUGCUGGUUCACUUCCCAGAAGGGCCUCAACAGUCAGGCCUGGGCUAGGCUGAAACCAGGAGCUCAGAGCUUCCUCCUGGUCUUCCAUUUGGGUGCAGGGGCCCACGUACCUGCGCUAUCCUCUGCUGCUUUCCCAGACGCAUUAGCAGGGAGCUGGAUUGGAAGUGGAGCAGCCCGAACUUGAAGGUGGAGACUUAACGUGCUACGCCAUAACGCUGGCCCUAACUUGACUUUGUUGUUAGUGAGGACUUUGAGGGAAAUUCUGAGAGAUGGAAAAUAGGAAAAAAGGAGUCUAGCUAAAAUGUGUGUGUGUGGAGGGGGGUAUUUAUUAUCUAGCAAGGAAGUUUUUUUAUAAGGUUUAUUUUCAUGGCAGAGUCACAUAGACAGAAAGAGAUAUUCGAUUUACUGGUUCACUCUUCCAAAUAGCCUCAAUGGCCAGGACUGGGCAAGGCCGGAGCCAGGAGCCUAGAACUCCAUUCAGCUCUCCCACGUGGGUUUCAGGGGCUCAAGGACUUGGAUCAUGUUCCUGGGCUUUCCCAGGUGCAUUACCAGGGAGCUGGAUUGGAAGUGGAGCAGCUGGGAUUUGAAUCUCGCUCAUGGGAUACAUGUGGUUGGUGGCUUAACCUGCUGCAGCAUGACUCCAGUACCAGAAAUAGUUAGUUAGUUAGUUAGUUAGUUAGUUGUUAGUUAUUUGAAAGACAGAGUUAGGGAGAGACAGAGAUCUUCCAUCUGCUCAUUCACUCCCGGAAUGGCCUCAACAACCAGGUCUCCCACAUGGGUGUCAUGGACCCAAGCACUCUGGCCAUCUUUUACUACCUUCCAGAGAGCUGGAUCAGAAGUGGAGCAGCUAGGACUUGAACCUGUGCUUUGACAUGGGAUGUUGGCAUUGCAAGUGAUGGCUUAACCUACUGAGCCACAAUGCUGGUCCCCUAGCAAGGAAAUUUGAUGGAGAUGAUAUAAAACUCUGAGGACUCAAGUUAGUUUAAAUAGUGACCUUUUGUUUAUUUUUCUUUCUUAUUUUUUUUUAAAGAUUUCAUUUAUUUAUUUGAGAGGCAGAGUUCCAGACAGAUAGAGGGAGAGACAGAAAGAAAGGUCUUCCAUCUGCUGGUUCACUCCCCAAAUGGCUACCACUUCCAGAGCUGGGCUGAUCUGGAGCCAGGAGCCUUUUCCAGGUCUCCCACGUGAGUGCAGGGGCCCAAGCACUUGAGCCAUCUUCUGCUUUCCCAGGCCACUAGCAGAGAUAUGGCUUGGAAGAGGAACAGCUAGUAUAUAAACUAGCACCCAUAUGGGAUGCUUGUGCCACAGGCAGAGGCUUAACCUACUACGCCACAGAGCCAGCCCAACUCAGUUUACUUUUCAAUUCUUUAUAAAUCAGUUCUUUUUUUUUUUUCAAAGAUUUUAUUUAUUUUAUUUUAUUUUAUUUAUUAUUAUUUUUUUUUGACAGGCAGAGUGGACAGUGAGAGAGAGAGACAGAGAGAAAGGUCUUCCUUUGCCGUUGGUUCACCCUCCAAUGGCCGCCGCGGCUGGCGCGCUGCGGCCGGCGCACCGCGCUGAUCCGAUGGCAGGAGCCAGGAGCCAGGUGCUUUUCCUGGUCUCCCAUGGGGUGCAGAGCCCAAGCACCUGGGCCAUCCUCCACUGCACUCCCGGGCCACAGCAGAGAGCUGGCCUGGAAGAGGGGCAACCGGGACAGAAUCCGGCGCCCCAACCGGGACUAGAACCCGGUGUGCCGGCGCCGCUAGGCGGAGGAUUAGCCUAGUGAGCCGCGGCGCCGGCCCAGAUUUUAUUUAUUUUAUUUGAGAGUUUAAAGUUACAGAUAGUGAGAGGGAGAGACAGAGAAAGGUCUUCCUUCCGUUGGUCCCUCCCCAAGUGGUCGCAACGGCUGGAGCUGUGCCGAUCCGAAGCCAGGAGCCAGGCGCUUCUUCCAGGUCUCCCAUGUGGAUGCAGGGGCCCAAGGACUUGGGCCAUCUUCUGCUUUCCCAGGCCACAGCAGAGAACUGGACCGGAAGUGGAGCAGCUGGGACUAGAACCGGCACCCACAUGGGAUGCCGGCGCCGCAGGCGGAGGAUUAACCUACUGUGCCAUGGCACCGGCCCUUAUAAAUCAUUUCUUUAUGAUGGGGAAAGACUGCUUAAACUAGCCUUUUUUUUUUUUUUUUAAAGGAUUUAUUUAUUUUGAUAGUCAGUUACAGAGGGAGGGAGAGGGCGAGAGAGAUAUUCCACCGGCUGGUUCACUCUCCAGAUGGCCACAACUGAGCCAGGCUGAAGCAGGAGCCAGGAGCUUUAUCUAGGUCUCACAUGUGGGUGUCAGAGACCCAAAUACUGGGCCAUUCUUCACUGCUUUUUCCCUGGCCAUUAGCAGGGAGGUUUAUCAGAAGUAGAGCAGCCAGGACAUGAACUAGUGUCCAUAUGAGAUGUCUGUGUCGCAGGCAGCAGCUUUACCCACCAUGCCACAGUGCCCGCCCCUAAACUAGCCUUUCAGAAAAGAAUUAAUGUACCACAUUUAAUUGUUAGCCUUUGUUUUUCUGCUUUAAGUAAAAACUCUCCUUUGGAGGAGAGUUCAGAGUGUUACUAACUACAUUUGGACUGACCCAUUGUGGAGGAUGACUUAGAAUAAUUGUGGCUUUGUAAAAUUUUCAAGUCCUUCCCCCUGUUGGUUAUGGCAGUGGGGCAAUGUUAGUUCAGGAGCUACAUGGUAGAGGGAAAAUAGCCUGUUGUUUGUUUUUUUUUAAAUUUCUUUCUAUUCAGCAUCUGUAUAUCUUUGGUUUCUCUCUCCCCUUUCUUAAUUUCACUUGUUUUAAAUAUCAGCCCUGUUUCUUCAGUUUAACUUUAUUCAUGUUUUUUCUCUAAAUUACUAAUAAAAAUACUUUUGUGAAGCCUGAGCAUGAAAAAUAUUUAAUGCAGAUAGAAUGUGUUUGGAAAGAAAGAUGUUAAAAAGUUUUAAUUGUUUUGAAGUUAAGCCAAUACCUUGUUUAUGUACAGUGAAAACACUGGAAAUGGUCUGGCUUUCCAUGAGUUCUUUAGUUGUCAGAGUAGUUUUUAAAUACUGUUGUUGCAGAAUAACCAUUUUAUAUUUCAAAAGCCUCUUGGUAUUUCUGCUCACUUUCUGGACAGUUCCUUGUGUCGGUGAGGGGCAGAUUAGGAGAGGUUGAUCUAUAAUGGUUAGAACAUCUAACAGAACUAUAAGAGCCUGCCUCUUACUUUGACUUGGAAAAAUCACUAUUGGUGAACCUCAGUGCUUUAUCUUCCUGCUUCUGCUUUGUAAUUUCAUUUCAAAACAGCUUGAGUCUGCAGCCUUUCUUCCUGUAAAAGGACAUUCCUUGUGUUAGAAUAUCCUUUGAAAGGUUGGGCAUAGCUGCUGGAGAUUUUAUCUUUCAAGGUACUUUACAUAAAUAGGUUUUUAAUUAUUCUGGAAAUUGUUCAACGAGUUGUAAAGUAGUUUUAUAUCUCUAAAGCAAAUGUUCUCCACUUGGUUGAGGAAACACCUCGGAUAACCAAGUAAUGGGUGUGUUACUAGAGCGAGGCCUCUGGUGACCCAGGAAUGGGUGUUAUUCGAGUGAGGGAGAACAUGCACGUGCACUGGUUCUUUGACAUCGUCCCAGUCUGGCCCAAGUCCUUUCUGGAAAUGGAGUUGUCACACAGAAGUAGGGCAGGCUCAGCUGUGUCUCCUCUGGUUUUCUUACUCUCAUUCACAACCUCCCCUAAGAGGUAAGUGCUUGCUGAAAGUUACAGAAAUAACAAUUUUUAGGACACCUCUCUGCUGUCAUGUUUUAGACAUCCACAUGUAUACCAGAUGAGGUUGUACAAACUAUAUAACUGUCCCAACAGCUUUCUUGCAGAAGGUAAAUAUCUCACAUUGUUUAAAAGUAAACUCUUAAUAUUUAAAGAAUUCUUAGUUUCAGACAGAACCAGAAUUGAGACAUUUAAUAACAUAAAUGCAAACUCCAGAAUCCAAAUUUUUGUUGCUCUAGAUAUUGGAAACAUGGGAAACCUGAGCAGUAAACCUUAUGGUUGGAAGUGAAAGUGUAAAUUUGACACUCUCCCUCUUAAAAUGUCACUGGAUAGAAUCCUGUUUAUCCACACUUAUGGCUUCCCUGUUGUGCCAGUGCCGUGUUUUGUAGUCCAACUGUAGCCAAAGUUAAGCUGAGCAUGUUACCACAACCUUACUAUUUCUCCUACUUUGAUGAGACAGUUGUUACUGUCAUAUGAGAGAGUAGUUUGGGUGCAUUGAUCCAGUCAUCUUUAUUUUUCGAAGGACACAGAGUAAAUAAAAAUGGGAUUGGAAAAAGAUUUUAAGAACAACUGCUUUCCCCUGUUUUUCUUUUAGCUCAUUAAAAUUUUCUCUUCAGGUAUAGUUUUAUUCAUUCAACACAUUUGAGUAUGUUUCAGUCACUUUAUGAGGUAUAGGGGAGGAAUAGUAACAAGAUCAUGAAGGUCUCUGCUGUCAUGUAGCUUACUUUGAAAGGUAGUCUCUGUACUCACAGGGGUUAAAAAGAUGAUCCUAAUCAAGGUUUGCCUUUUGCAUUGCUAUUUUUUAAAGAUUUAUUUAUUUUUUUGAAAGAGUUACACAAAGAAGGAGAGGCAGAGAGAGAGAGAGAGAGGUCUUCCAACCACUGGUUCACUCCCCAAUUGGCCACAACGGCUGGAGCUGCUCUGAUCCGAAGCCAGGAGCCAGGAGCUUCCUCUGGGUCUCCCUCGCAGAUGGCCACACCAGCCAGUGCUGUGCCAGGGCAAAGCCAGGAACUUCUUCCAGGUCUCUCAUGAGGGUGGCAGGGGCCCAAACACUUGGACCAUCUUCUACUGCUUCUUCCCAGAGCAUUUCAGGGAGCUGGAUCAGAAGUGAAGCAGCUGGGACUCAAACUAGCACCUAUAUGGGAUGUAAGUUUCACAGACAGCUUUAACUCGGUAUGCCACAGUGUUGGCCUCUCUUUUACAUUUUGAUUAACAUGAAAUACUUGAAUUUUUUAAAAAAGAUUUAUUUAUUCGAAAGUUAGAGUUACAGAAAAACAGAGAAAGAGAGAGAUCUUCCAUCCGCUGGUUUACUCCCAAAAUGGCUGCAAGGGCCAGAGCUGGGCUGAUCCUAAGCCAGAAGCCAGGAGCUGGGAGCCAGGGACCAGGAGCUUCUUCCAGGCCUUCCUCAUGGAUGCAGGAGCACAAGGACUUGGGUCAUCCUUGGUUGCCCUCCCAGGCACAAUAGCAGAGAGCUGGAUCAGAAGUGGAACAGCCAGGACUCAAAACAGCAUGCAUGUGAGGUGCCAGCAUUGCAGGUGGUGGAUUGACUUGCUAUGCCACAGCACCGGCCCCAAUAUUUGUAUACUUUUAAAGGGUAUAGUACUGUAUUUUAACACAUGUACAUCUGUAAACCAAAGCAGGCAACUAGCCAUUCCUUCCCCCCCUCCCUCCAUCCCUUCCUUUCUUCUCUCUCCUUUAUUUGAAAAUCAGAGCUGCAGAGAGAGAGAGGCACAGGGCAAAGAGGGAUCUCCCAUCCCUUGGUUCAUUCCCUAAAAUCCCAGCAGCCAGAUCUGGACCAGGCUGAAGCCAGAAGCCAGGAACUCCACUCUGACGUCCUAUAGGGGCAAUAGGUGCCCAAGUAUUUGAGCCAUCUUUUGCUGUCUUCCCAGGCACAUUAGCAAGAAUCUGGAUCAGAAGUGGAGCAUCCAGGGUAUGAGCCACCACUUUGAUACAGGAUGCUGGCAUUGCAGAAAUCUUUAUCAGCCACACCAUACCACCAGCCCCGAUUUCCUUAUCCUUUCUUUGUGUUUGGAGCUUCCUACCUCUCCUCUUCUCCAAACUUUUACUAUAAUCACUUAAUUUUUUGAAACUGUGGACUUUUAUUUAACCUUUUUUUAAGUUUUUUUUCUAUUUUUUUUUAUUAUUUGAAAGGCAGAGUUACACAGAAAGAGGAGAGGCAGAGAGAGAGAGAGAGAGAGAGGUCCUCCAUCCACUGGUUCACUCCCCAAUUGGCUGCAACAGCUGGAGCUGUACUAAUCCGAAGCCAGGAGCCAGGAGCUCCUUCUGGGUCUCCCACGUGGGUGCAGGGGCCAAGGACUUGGGCCAUCUUCUACUGCUUUCCCAGGCCAUAUCAGAGAGCUGGAUCAGAAGUGGAGCAGCCAGGUCUCGAACCGGUGCCCAUAUGGGAUGCUGGCACUGCAUGCAGCAGCUUUACCCGCUACGCCACAGCGCCAGCCCCUUACCUUUUUGUUUUUAAGAAAAAUUUUGUAUCUUUUUUAUUUUAGUUUUAUUUCAAAGACAGAGAGAGACAAACAUAUAUUGUAUUUGCUGAUUCAUUCCCCAAAUGCCCUCAACAGCUAAGACUGGGCUAGACUGAAGCCAGGAGCCUGAAACCCAAUCCUGGUGUCUCGUAUCGCUGGCAUGGACCCAACUAUUUGAGUCGUUACCACUGCCUCCCAUGGAGCUGGAUUCAUAAAGCAGAGCUGGAACUCAGACACUCCAAAAUGCGAUUUGGGCUCCUUUUUUGACUUUUUAUUUUAUUUUUUAUUAAUUUAUUUGCAUUUUGUUUGAAAGAGAGGGAUGGAGGGAGGGAAAUCUUUCAUUUCACUGGUUCACUCCCUAAAUGCCCACAAUAGCCAGGGCUGGGCUAGACCAAAACUAGGAGCCCGGAACUCUCUCUGGGUCUCUCAUGUGUGUGGCAGGAACCCCAAGUACUUGAGCUAUCACUUGCCUCUUAGGAUGUGCAAGAGCAGGAAGCUGUAUUAGAAGUGUAGGCGUGUAGGAGCCAGAACUCAAAUCAAGCACUUUAAUAUGGGAUGUUGGUAUUCCAAUCAGUGCCACACCACCACCUCCCCAUAUUUGACCUUUUUUUUUUUUUUUAAUUUAUUUAUUUGAAGGAGUUACACACAGAGAGAGGUCUUCCAUCUGCUGGUUCACUCCUUGAAUGGCCGCAGCAGCCAGAGCUGUGCCAGUCCGAAGCCAGGAGCCAGGAGCCAGGAGCUUCUUCUGGGUCUCCCACAUGGGUACAGGGUCCCAAGGACUUGGGCCAUCUUCUACUGCUUUCCCAGGCCAUAGCAGAAAGCUAGAUCGGAAAUGGAACAGCCAGGACUCAAACCGGCUCCCAUAUGGGAUGCCAGCGCAUUAACCCACUGCACAACAGUGCCGGCCCCCAUAUUUGACCUUUAUAAUGCUUUCUCUCAUCUCAAAAUUGCCACCAUAGAUUUUUUCUCCUUUUUUUUUUUUAACAUUUAUUUAUUUAUUUGAAAAAGAGAGAGGGAAAGAUGGUGAGAGAGAGAUCAUUCAUCUGUUGGUUCACUCCCAAAAUGACUGCUUCUGCCAGGUCUUGGCUAAGCUAAAGUCAGGAGCCAGGAGCUUCAUCUGGGUCUCUCAUUUGGGUGCACGGGCCCAAGCACCUGGACCAUCCUCUAUUGCUUUCCCAGAUGCGUUAGUAGAGACAUGGAUUAGAAAUGGAGCAGCAAGGACUUGACCUGGUGCCCAUAUGGGAUGCUGGUGUCACAGGCGACUGCCCCAUGAUGCCAGACCCCACAAUAGGUUUUUAAAAAUUCCAUAGUAGGCCAGUGCCGUGGCUCACUUGGUUAAUCCUCCACCUGCAAUGCCGGCAUCCCAUAUGGGUGCCGGGUUCUAGUCCCAGUUGCUUCUCUACCAGUCCAGCUCUCUGCUGUGGCCCGGGAGGGCAGUGGAGGAUGGCCCAAGUGCUUGUGUCCUUGCACCGCAUGGGAGACCAGGAGGAACCACUUUGCUCCUGGCUUUGGAUCAGCACAGUGCUGGCUAUAGCAGCUGUUAGGGAAGUGAACCAACAGAAGGAAGACCUUUCUCUCUGUCUCUCCCUCUCACUGUCAAAUAAAAAAAAAUUCCAUAGUAAAAAACUAAAUGAAUUCUUUUUUUUCUUUUUAAGAUUUAUUUUAUUUAUUUGAAAGAGUUACGGGGCAUUGAGGGAGAGAGAUCUUCCAUCUGCUGUUUUACUCCCUAAAUGGCCUCAACGGCCAGAGCUGAACCAAUCCAAAGCCAGGAGCCAGGAGCUUCUUCCAGGUCUCCCAUGUGGGUGCAGGGGCCCAAGAACUUGGGCUAUCCUCUGCUGCUUUCCCAGUCACAUUAGCAGGGAGCUGGAUUGGAAGUGGAGCAGCUGGGUUGCAAACUGGUGCCCAUAUGAGAUGCUGGUGCUGCAGGCGGAGACUUUAAAUCACUGCGCCACAGUGCCGGCCCUCAAUGAAUUCUUCUAAGAUAACGGGAGACUCAUCAUCUUAGUCAUAUACCUAAUUGUGAUACCUGGAAAGUCAAAAAAACAGGUUAGUCUUCAUGGAUAGAUCAAUCUUCCAUUAAGACAGUUUGUAGCUGAGCCUUAUUUGAAGUCCUGUUGUAUUAUACUUCUCAAAUCUACAUUUCAGUUUUGCUUAGAUAAGUGGUACAAGCAGGUCACCAUUGUUUCCCUUUCUUCUAUAUUAAUCAUAUAGUAUCCUUAGUCUUUUCAGUCAGCUGACCUAUCAGUGCGAAUGUAGGAAAGUAUAUAACAUACACACACACAGAGAGAUUUAUUUUUAUUUAUUUGAAAGGGAAAGUUAAAUCUAGAAUGAGAAAUAGAGAGAGAGAGAUCUUCCAUCUGCUGGUUCACUCCCCAAAUGGCUGCAUUGGCCAGCACUGGGGCAGGCUGAAAGGAGCCAGGAGCUUCAUCUGGGUCUCCCAUGUGGGUGCAGAGGCCCAAAGACUUGGGCCAUUCUUCGCUGCUUUCCCAGGCAUAUUAGCCCAGAGCUAGAUUGGAAGUGGAGCAGCUAGGACUUGAACCCAUGCCUAUAUGAGAUUCCAGUAUUGCAGAUAGUGACUUAACCUGAUAAGCCAUAAAGCCAGCCCCUGUAAGAAGUGUAUACAUCCUUGAUAAUUCAAAAGGCAGAUAGAUAGAUAAUUGGCUUUUUUUUUUUUUUUUUUUU
This is a non-coding RNA of Oryctolagus cuniculus (rabbit), 9728 nucleotides long. The record is from RefSeq and is a predicted model, not a curated record. Lineage: Eukaryota; Metazoa; Chordata; Mammalia; Lagomorpha; Leporidae.